ACGGGAGGCAGCAGUGGGGAAUAUUGGACAAUGGGCGAAAGCCUGAUCCAGCGACGCCGCGUGAGUGAAGAAGUAUUUCGGUAUGUAAAGCUCUAUCAGCAGGGAAGAUAAUGACGGUACCUGACUAAGAAGCCCCGGCUAACUACGUGCCAGCAGCCGCGGUAAUACGUAGGGGGCAAGCGUUAUCCGGAUUUACUGGGUGUAAAGGGAGCGUAGACGGCAUGGCAAGUCUGGUGUGAAAGCCCAGGGCUCAACCCUGGGACUGCAUUGGAAACUGUCAAGCUAGAGUGCAGGAGAGGUAAGUGGAAUUCCUAGUGUAGCGGUGAAAUGCGUAGAUAUUAGGAGGAACACCAGUGGCGAAGGCGGCUUACUGGACUGUAACUGACGUUGAGGCUCGAAAGCGUGGGGAGCAAACAUGAUUAGAUACCCUGGUA
This 434-nucleotide ribosomal RNA is filed under the name uncultured Lachnospiraceae bacterium. Its description in RNAcentral is "partial 16S ribosomal RNA". It matches the Rfam family "Bacterial small subunit ribosomal RNA", at positions 341 to 792 of the family's 1533-position model. Lineage: Bacteria; Bacillati; Bacillota; Clostridia; Lachnospirales; Lachnospiraceae. The record is from RNAcentral.